RNAcentral lists this long non-coding RNA (722 nucleotides) under Pongo abelii (Sumatran orangutan). RNAcentral's name for it is "lincRNA". The record is from RNAcentral. Lineage: Eukaryota; Metazoa; Chordata; Mammalia; Primates; Hominidae.
UGAUCUCUGAGAAGUGAGUAGCUGGAGGCACCAGGAUACCAGCCAAGCCUAAAGGAUAAAGCAAAUCCCUGGACAUGGCUUUUGAUUCCAAGCGAAGAAGUGCAAGAAGCUCUUCCAAAUACAACUGCAACUGCCAAGAGAUUGAUGGACCAGAGAAUGGCCUCUUCAUUCCAGGCACUUCUCAAGUCCAAGUGGUCAAAUACCAGCCUCUUUUUACCAAUGUUCCCACCUGUUUCAUUCAGCCAAAUUUCAUUAAAUGAAGGAAUGUGGUGCAUUUCUUGAGAUUGAGAAUACAGAUAAGAAGCAGGUUUGAAUGGUGAAGAAAUGAUGGACCCUGUUUGUCUCAAACAAGGACUCUAAUGAUACAACAGAAUAAGUCACAAGAAAGCUUGCCUGGAACACCAUACACUGGCCUCUUCGUGGUAAAGUCCUUCACAAUCCUUACAAACAUAGAAAAUAUUCAGCAGUUCGUUUGUUUGUUUGUUUUCCAGUCCACUCUUACUUAAGAAAAAUGCAAAACAUCAAAGACACAAAAAACCACCAGUCUAUACAGCUUGCCCAUACUAAAUUGUUAUUCAUUUCAGGAGAGUGUACAGUUUCUUUCUGUAAGACUCUAUUAAACCAGUUACUCUACAAUAGCAAACAUUUUAGGCAAACCUAACCAUUGCUUCCCAUAAAGAUAUUUAUAUCUUUAAGUGGUAUCUGAUUCAUCCCUAAGAAAU